This 253-nucleotide ribosomal RNA is filed under the name uncultured bacterium. Its description in RNAcentral is "partial 16S ribosomal RNA". It matches the Rfam family "Bacterial small subunit ribosomal RNA", at positions 524 to 776 of the family's 1533-position model. The record is from RNAcentral.
UACGUAGGGUCCAAGCGUUAUCCGGAAUCACUGGGCGUAAAGCGUGCGUAGGUGGCGCGUUAAGUGAGAUGUUAAAACGUGGGGCUCAACCCUGUCGGUGCAUCUCAUACUGGCGUGCUAGAGGACAGCAGAGGCAAGUGGAAUUUGUAGUGUAGCAGUGAAAUGCGUAGAUAUUACAAGGAACACCAAUGGCGAAGGCAGCUUGCUGGGCUACUCCUGACGCUGAGAAGCGAAAGCAUGGGGAGCGAACAGG